Molecule: ribosomal RNA, 433 nt
Filed under: uncultured bacterium
Lineage: Bacteria
Description: partial 16S ribosomal RNA
Rfam family: Bacterial small subunit ribosomal RNA
Source: RNAcentral
AGCGAACGCUGGCGGCAGGCCUAACACAUGCAAGUCGAACGGAUCCUUCGGGAUUAGUGGCGGACGGGUGAGUAACACGUGGGAACGUGCCCUUUUGUUCGGAACAACUCAGGGAAACUUGAGCUAAUACCGGAUGUGCCCUUCGGGGGAAAGAUUUAUCGCCAUUGGAGCGGCCCGCGUCUGAUUAGCUAGUUGGUGAGGUAACGGCCCACCAAGGCGACGAUCAGUAGCUGGUCUGAGAGGAUGAUCAGCCACACUGGGACUGAGACACGGCCCAGACUCCUACGGGAGGCAGCAGUGGGGAAUCUUGCGCAAUGGGCGAAAGCCUGACGCAGCCAUGCCGCGUGAAUGAUGAAGGUCUUAGGAUUGUAAAAUUCUUUCAGCGGGGACGAUAAUGACGGUACCCGCAGAAGAAGCUCCGGCUAACUUCGUG